AGAGUUUGAUCAUGGCUCAGGACGAACGCUGGCGGCGUGCCUAAUACAUGCAAGUGGAACGCAUGAUUGAUACCGGAGCUUGCUCCACCAUUAAUCAUGAGUCGCGAACGGGUGAGUAACGCGUAGGUAACCUACCUCAUAGCGGGGGAUAACUAUUGGAAACGAUAGCUAAUACCGCAUAACAGUAUUUAUCACAUGGUAAAUGCUUGAAAGGAGCAAUUGCUUCACUAUGAGAUGGACCUGCGUUGUAUUAGCUAGUUGGUGGGGUAACGGCUCACCAAGGCAUCGAUACAUAGCCGACCUGAGAGGGUGAUCGGCCACACUGGGACUGAGACACGGCCCAGACUCCUACGGGAGGCAGCAGUAGGGAAUCUUCGGCAAUGGGGGGAACCCUGACCGAGCAACGCCGCGUGAGUGAAGAAGGUUUUCGGAUCGUAAAGCUCUGUUGUAAGAGAAGAACGUGUGUGAGAGUGGAAAGUUCACACAGUGACGGUAACUUACCAGAAAGGGACGGCUAACUACGUGCCAGCAGCCGCGGUAAUACGUAGGUCCCGAGCGUUGUCCGGAUUUAUUGGGCGUAAAGCGAGCGCAGGCGGUUUGAUAAGUCUGAAGUAAAAGGCUGUGGCUUAACCAUAGUAUGCUUUGGAAACUGUCAAACUUGAGUGCAGAAGGGGAGAGUGGAAUUCCAUGUGUAGCGGUGAAAUGCGUAGAUAUAUGGAGGAACACCGGUGGCGAAAGCGGCUCUCUGGUCUGUAACUGACGCUGAGGCUCGAAAGCGUGGGGAGCAAACAGGAUUAGAUACCCUGGUAGUCCACGCCGUAAACGAUGAGUGCUAGGUGUUGGGUCCUUUCCGGGACUCAGUGCCGCAGCUAACGCAUUAAGCACUCCGCCUGGGGAGUACGACCGCAAGGUUGAAACUCAAAUGA
Molecule: ribosomal RNA, 926 nt
Filed under: uncultured bacterium
Lineage: Bacteria
Description: bacterial SSU rRNA
Rfam family: Bacterial small subunit ribosomal RNA
Source: RNAcentral